AGAUUAAGUUAUUAAGGGCGCACGGUGGAUGCCUUGGCACUAGAAGCCGAUGAAGGACGUUACUAACGACGAUAUGCUUUGGGUAGCUGUAAGUAAGCGUUGAUCCAGAGAUUUCCGAAUGGGGGAACCCAGCAUGAGUUAUGUCAUGUUAUCGACAUGUGAAUUCAUAGCAUGUCAGAAGGCAGACCCGGAGAACUGAAACAUCUUAUUACCCGGAGGAAGAGAAAGAAAAAUCGAUUCCCUGAGUAGCGGCGAGCGAAACGGGAAGAGCCCAAACCAACAAGCUUGCUUGUUGGGGUUGUAGGACACUCUAUACGGAGUUACAAAAGAACAUGUUAGACGAAUCAUCUGGAAAGAUGAAUCAAAGAAGGUAAUAAUCCUGUAGUCGAAAACAUAUUCUCUCUUGAGUGGAUCCUGAGUACGACGGAGCACGUGAAAUUCCGUCGGAAUCUGGGAGGACCAUCUCCUAAGGCUAAAUACUCUCUAGUGACCGAUAGUGAACCAGUACCGUGAGGGAAAGGUGAAAAGUACCCCGGAAGGGGAGUGAAAGAGAACUUGAAACCGUGUGCUUACAAGUAGUCAGAGCCCGUUAAUGGGUGAUGGCGUGCCUUUUGUAGAAUGAACCGGCGAGUUACGAUCUGAUGCAAGGUUAAGCAGCAAAUGUGGAGCCGCAGCGAAAGCGAGUCUGAAUAGGGCGUUGAGUAUUUGGUCGCAGACCCGAAACCAGGUGAUCUACCAUUGGUCAGGUUGAAGUUCAGGUAACACUGAAUGGAGGACCGAACCGACUUACGUUGAAAAGUGAGCGGAUGAACUGAGGGUAGCGGAGAAAUUCCAAUCGAACUUGGAGAUAGCUGGUUCUCUCCGAAAUAGCUUUAGGGCUAGCCUCAAGUGAUGAUUAUUGGAGGUAGAGCACUGUUUGGACGAGGGGCCCCUCUCGGGUUACCGAAUUCAGACAAACUCCGAAUGCCAAUUAAUUUAACUUGGGAGUCAGAACAUGGGUGAUAAGGUCCGUGUUCGAAAGGGAAACAGCCCAGACCACCAGCUAAGGUCCCAAAAUAUAUGUUAAGUGGAAAAGGAUGUGGCGUUGCCCAGACAACUAGGAUGUUGGCUUAGAAGCAGCCAUCAUUUAAAGAGUGCGUAAUAGCUCACUAGUCGAGUGACACUGCGCCGAAAAUGUACCGGGGCUAAACAUAUUACCGAAGCUGUGGAUUGUCCUUUGGACAAUGGUAGGAGAGCGUUCUAAGGGCGUCGAAGCAUGAUCGCAAGGACAUGUGGAGCGCUUAGAAGUGAGAAUGCCGGUGUGAGUAGCGAAAGACGGGUGAGAAUCCCGUCCACCGAUUGACUAAGGUUUCCAGAGGAAGGCUCGUCCGCUCUGGGUUAGUCGGGUCCUAAGCUGAGGCCGACAGGCGUAGGCGAUGGAUAACAGGUUGAUAUUCCUGUACCACCUAGUAUCGUUUUAAUCGAUGGGGGGACGCAGUAUGAUAGGCGAAGCGUGCUGUUGGAGUGCACGUCCAAGCAGUAAGGCUGAGUGUUAGGCAAAUCCGGCACUCAUAAGGCUGAGCUGUGAUGGGGAGAGGAAAUUGUUUCCUCGAGUCGUUGAUUUCACACUGCCGAGAAAAGCCUCUAGAUAGAUAACAGGUGCCCGUACCGCAAACCGACACAGGUAGUCAAGAUGAGAAUUCUAAGGUGAGCGAGCGAACUCUCGUUAAGGAACUCGGCAAAAUGACCCCGUAACUUCGGGAGAAGGGGUGCUCUUUAGGGUUCACGCCCAGAAGAGCCGCAGUGAAUAGGCCCAAGCGACUGUUUAUCAAAAACACAGGUCUCUGCUAAACCGUAAGGUGAUGUAUAGGGGCUGACGCCUGCCCGGUGCUGGAAGGUUAAGAGGAGUGGUUAGCUUCUGCGAAGCUACGAAUCGAAGCCCCAGUAAACGGCGGCCGUAACUAUAACGGUCCUAAGGUAGCGAAAUUCCUUGUCGGGUAAGUUCCGACCCGCACGAAAGGCGUAACGAUUUGGGCACUGUCUCAACGAGAGACUCGGUGAAAUCAUAGUACCUGUGAAGAUGCAGGUUACCCGCGACAGGACGGAAAGACCCCGUGGAGCUUUACUGUAGCCUGAUAUUGAAAUUCGGCACAGCUUGUACAGGAUAGGUAGGAGCCUUUGAAACGUGAGCGCUAGCUUACGUGGAGGCGUUGGUGGGAUACUACCCUAGCUGUGUUGGCUUUCUAACCCGCACCACUUAUCGUGGUGGGAGACAGUGUCAGGCGGGCAGUUUGACUGGGGCGGUCGCCUCCUAAAAGGUAACGGAGGCGCUCAAAGGUUCCCUCAGAAUGGUUGGAAAUCAUUCAUAGAGUGUAAAGGCAUAAGGGAGCUUGACUGCGAGACCUACAAGUCGAGCAGGGUCGAAAGACGGACUUAGUGAUCCGGUGGUUCCGCAUGGAAGGGCCAUCGCUCAACGGAUAAAAGCUACCCCGGGGAUAACAGGCUUAUCUCCCCCAAGAGUUCACAUCGACGGGGAGGUUUGGCACCUCGAUGUCGGCUCAUCGCAUCCUGGGGCUGUAGUCGGUCCCAAGGGUUGGGCUGUUCGCCCAUUAAAGCGGUACGCGAGCUGGGUUCAGAACGUCGUGAGACAGUUCGGUCCCUAUCCGUCGUGGGCGUAGGAAAUUUGAGAGGAGCUGUCCUUAGUACGAGAGGACCGGGAUGGACAUACCUCUGGUGUACCAGUUGUCGUGCCAACGGCAUAGCUGGGUAGCUAUGUAUGGACGGGAUAAGUGCUGAAAGCAUCUAAGCAUGAAGCCCCCCUCAAGAUGAGAUUUCCCAACUUCGGUUAUAAGAUCCCUCGAAGAUGACGAGGUUAAUAGGUUCGAGGUGGAAGCGUGGUGACACGUGGAGCUGACGAAUACUAAUCGAUCGAAGACUUAAUCAAUUUUUUAAA
RNAcentral lists this ribosomal RNA (2932 nucleotides) under Staphylococcus epidermidis. Its description in RNAcentral is "23S ribosomal RNA". It matches the Rfam family "Bacterial large subunit ribosomal RNA". The record is from RNAcentral. Lineage: Bacteria; Bacillati; Bacillota; Bacilli; Caryophanales; Staphylococcaceae.